GGGGUAGUACUGGUUUCGACGGGGGCUUAGAAAUUAGGGCAGCCAUCCGAGGUGGGUGACCUCGUAAAAACAUCUAUUAAAUAUAAACGCUGAUAAUAAAUUAGCACUCGCUGCCUAAGUGCAGCUGUCAGCCCUGUGUCAUCCGCUGCAUAGGUCACUGGCAUCGAACAGGCGGAGCACUUCCGGAUCAAAGCCUGUAGAUCAGGGAAGAAUAACAGGCUACCGAAGCUUAGAGCUUGUAAGUGGGCGCUGGGCCGGGGGAAUCUCAAAUCACUUACUGUGAUGGAAGACACCUUAAUGGAAAAACUUUCGGACGCGGGUUCGAUUCCCGCCUGCUCCA
Molecule: transfer-messenger RNA, 340 nt
Filed under: uncultured Eubacterium sp.
Lineage: Bacteria; Bacillati; Bacillota; Clostridia; Eubacteriales; Eubacteriaceae
Rfam family: transfer-messenger RNA
About the family: Bacterial tmRNA, also known as 10Sa RNA or SsrA, is named for its dual tRNA and mRNA-like properties. Its role is to liberate the mRNA from a stalled ribosome.
Source: RNAcentral